This is a small nuclear RNA of Panicum virgatum (switchgrass), 121 nucleotides long. RefSeq annotates it as U5 spliceosomal RNA. Lineage: Eukaryota; Viridiplantae; Streptophyta; Magnoliopsida; Poales; Poaceae. The record is from RefSeq and is a predicted model, not a curated record. The transcript has a single exon.
AGCUGCGCAGUGGGCACAGAGCGAACUAUUCUUUCGCCUUUUACUAAAGAAUACCGUGUGCCCGCUGCAACAAGCAGCAUACGCCUAUUUUUUGGAGGGCUCCUUCUCUCUGUGAGGAGGG